CAUUAGAAGAUGCGAUGCAAAGAGAAGAGAAGCGCCGCAGUAGUUCGCAUUCACCGUUUGCCCACUCGUUCAAGCUCUGAAGCUAGCCAUCUAAUUAUGAUUAUCUUUUUCCCCUCUUGGUAAGUAGUUCGGAGCACAAAGUCUUGAAGCUAAUUUUAGUCAAUUCAUCAACACAGAAAAAGAUUGACAAUUCUUAUAGAUUCUGGCAGCAAAAAUAUUAGAAGGGCAUGGAUUAUAGGAAGUCGUGGUGGUGAAGACAGAAUUGUUUUAGGAUAUAAUAUUUUAGUUUUUUUGUAGAGUAUUAGUAGUAAAUUCUAAGUGGUCUUAUACUUAUUUUAAUAUGACUAUGCUUAAUUUAGUGUGAGAUGUAUGAAUAUUAGUACUUUUGGAUCAUUAUAAAUAUAUUUUAUUUAUAGAUAAUUUUUAUUAUUUAAAGAAA
Molecule: long non-coding RNA, 439 nt
Organism: Arachis stenosperma
Lineage: Eukaryota; Viridiplantae; Streptophyta; Magnoliopsida; Fabales; Fabaceae
Exons: 3
Source: RefSeq, a predicted model, not a curated record